Molecule: ribosomal RNA, 508 nt
Filed under: uncultured bacterium
Lineage: Bacteria
Description: bacterial SSU rRNA
Rfam family: Bacterial small subunit ribosomal RNA
Source: RNAcentral
UUCUGGCUCAGGAUGAACGCUAGCGGCAGGCUUAACACAUGCAAGGUCGAGGGGCAUCGGGAGUAGCAAUACUUGCCGGCGACCGGCGCAAGGGUGCGUAACGCGUGAGCAACAUGCCCGUAUCAGGGGGAUAAUCCAUGGAAACGUGGUCUAAUACCCCAUAGUAAUUAUGUAAGGCAUCUUAUAUAAUUUAAAGCUUUGGUGGAUACGGAUUGGCUCGCGUGACAUUAGCUGGAUGGUAAGGUAACGGCUUACCAUGGCUACGAUGUCUAGGGGUUCUGAGACGGAAGGUCCCCCACACUGGAACUGAGUCACGGUCCAGACUCCUACGGGAGGCAGCAGUGAGGAAUAUUGGACAAUGGAUGGAAAUCUGAUCCAGCCAUGCCGCGUGCAGGAAGACGGCCCUAUGGGUUGUAAACUGCUUUUGUAUGGGAGCAAUAAGGGCUACGUGUAGUCCGAUGGGAGUACCAUACGAAUAAGCACCGGCUAACUCCGUGCCAGCCGCCGC